Molecule: ribosomal RNA, 180 nt
Filed under: uncultured Glomeromycotina
Lineage: Eukaryota; Fungi; Glomeromycota
Description: partial small subunit ribosomal RNA
Source: RNAcentral
GCCCUUGCCUGCCGGUCCGCCUUUUGGGGUGUGUACUGGUUAUCGGCGAGGGCUUACCUCGUGGUGAGCCGUCAUGCACUUUAUUGGGUGUGGCGGAUAACCAUGACUUUUACUUUGAAAAAAUUAGAGUGUUCAAAGCAGGCUUACGCCCGAAUACAUUAGCAUGGAAUAAUAGAAUAG